AAUUCAAUCACAUUUCCCAUAGCUAAUAACAGACUGAGGUUUAAAGGUCACACAAGAUGAUGUUUUACUGAAGUCAGGGUGCAAAUUAUUACGCUUGAACCCU
Pimephales promelas (fathead minnow) is the source of this 103-nucleotide non-coding RNA. The record is from RefSeq and is a predicted model, not a curated record. NCBI's taxonomy places the organism in Eukaryota, Metazoa, Chordata, Actinopteri, Cypriniformes, Leuciscidae.